CAAUAGCGUAUAUUUAAGUUGCUGCAGUUAAAAAGCUCGUAGUUGGAUUUCGGGUGGGAAUGGCCGGUCCGCCGUUUCGGUGUGCACUUGCUACGCCCACCUUGCUGCCGGGGACGUGCUCUUGAGUUCACGCUCGGGACACGGAGUCGGCGAGGUUACUUUGAGUAAAUUAGAGUGUUCAAAGCAGGCCUCGGCCUCUGAAUACAUUAGCAUGGAAUAAUAAGAUAGGACUUUGGUGGUCUAUUUUGUUGGUUUGCACGCCAAAGUAAUGAUUAAUAGGGAUAGUUGGGGGUAUUCGUAUUCAAUUGUCAGAGGUGAAAUUCUUGGAUUUAUGGAAGACGAACUACUGCGAAAGCAUUUACCAAGGAUGUUUUCAUUAA
This 380-nucleotide ribosomal RNA is filed under the name uncultured eukaryote. RNAcentral's name for it is "partial 18S ribosomal RNA". It matches the Rfam family "Eukaryotic small subunit ribosomal RNA", at positions 592 to 976 of the family's 1831-position model. The record is from RNAcentral.